Cannabis sativa is the source of this 529-nucleotide long non-coding RNA. RefSeq lists it as uncharacterized. The transcript has 3 exons. Lineage: Eukaryota; Viridiplantae; Streptophyta; Magnoliopsida; Rosales; Cannabaceae. The record is from RefSeq and is a predicted model, not a curated record.
AAGUUAAGGGGAUUUCUAGAAUUAAUUAGGUUAGUGUUGAAUUAGUAAUUAAAAUAAAAGAUAGGUUAGAUAAUAUCAAAAAUUAAUUUUCACUCUCUCCAUACUUCUCUCUCUCGACCCUAACAACCUAAAAAAAAUCAAAAUUUCAAAUCAAAUUCAUCAUCCUUGAGCAAGAAUUCAGCAAGAUUUUUGGUAGGAAAGUGAUUUUUAAGACCUAAGGGCCACUAAUCGUUGAGCAGCAGUUUCCACUCAGGUUGGCCAACACACUUGAUUAUGGAAUUGAGGUAAGGGCAAGUUAAAGAUUGAACAACAGUGAGUGUAGAGCUAGAUGAAGAUUGUAGAUAUCCAAACGGUUAGACCUAGAGUGUUCAGGUCUAUGGAACGGCAUGACUUAGAUUUUAUUAGUCGCGAAGCGUCACAUUUUGGUUUUAUUUUAUUUUGUUGUAUUUGAAAAAUAGAUUGGGAUUCUAGAUUAUGUGAACUUAUAUAUAUUAGCAAGGUUUAUAAUUAUUUUAAAAGUUCUAUUUAA